Molecule: ribosomal RNA, 872 nt
Filed under: Vibrio sp.
Lineage: Bacteria; Pseudomonadati; Pseudomonadota; Gammaproteobacteria; Vibrionales; Vibrionaceae
Description: bacterial SSU rRNA
Rfam family: Bacterial small subunit ribosomal RNA
Source: RNAcentral
CUGAUGCAGCCAUGCCGCGUGUAUGAAGAAGGCCUUCGGGUUGUAAAGUACUUUCAGUCGUGAGGAAGGCGGUGUCGUUAAUAGCGGCGUCAUUUGACGUUAGCGACAGAAGAAGCACCGGCUAACUCCGUGCCAGCAGCCGCGGUAAUACGGAGGGUGCGAGCGUUAAUCGGAAUUACUGGGCGUAAAGCGCAUGCAGGUGGUUUGUUAAGUCAGAUGUGAAAGCCCGGGGCUCAACCUCGGAAUAGCAUUUGAAACUGGCAGACUAGAGUACUGUAGAGGGGGGUAGAAUUUCAGGUGUAGCGGUGAAAUGCGUAGAGAUCUGAAGGAAUACCGGUGGCGAAGGCGGCCCCCUGGACAGAUACUGACACUCAGAUGCGAAAGCGUGGGGAGCAAACAGGAUUAGAUACCCUGGUAGUCCACGCCGUAAACGAUGUCUACUUGGAGGUUGUGGCCUUGAGCCGUGGCUUUCGGAGCUAACGCGUUAAGUAGACCGCCUGGGGAGUACGGUCGCAAGAUUAAAACUCAAAUGAAUUGACGGGGGCCCGCACAAGCGGUGGAGCAUGUGGUUUAAUUCGAUGCAACGCGAAGAACCUUACCUACUCUUGACAUCCAGAGAACUUUCCAGAGAUGGAUUGGUGCCUUCGGGAACUCUGAGACAGGUGCUGCAUGGCUGUCGUCAGCUCGUGUUGUGAAAUGUUGGGUUAAGUCCCGCAACGAGCGCAACCCUUAUCCUUGUUUGCCAGCGAGUAAUGUCGGGAACUCCAGGGAGACUGCCGGUGAUAAACCGGAGGAAGGUGGGGACGACGUCAAGUCAUCAUGGCCCUUACGAGUAGGGCUACACACGUGCUACAAUGGCGCAUACAGAGGGC